This is a long non-coding RNA of Empidonax traillii (willow flycatcher), 655 nucleotides long. RefSeq lists it as uncharacterized. The transcript has 3 exons. The record is from RefSeq and is a predicted model, not a curated record. Lineage: Eukaryota; Metazoa; Chordata; Aves; Passeriformes; Tyrannidae.
ACUUUCUGAGAAUGAGCCAUUUUUACCUUUUCUGUCCCCAAAAACGCAUGUGAUGCUCCCAUCUUCCUCGCCACUGCUGCAGCCACGUUUUCUGGACUUGGGUUGACCUUUUUGCACUGUCCCACCCCAAUGGAAAGGGAAGAGAAGCUUUGCCACCAGCCCUGAGGUGAGGACACCCCAGCAUGGAUUUGUGAUGCACACCAGAACAUUUGUUCAAUAAGAAGGAACAAUGGCCCAGCUCCAUUUCUUGUGUAGUCUGCAACUCCCUAAGGUGUCUGACACACUGGGAACCCACGCACAACACAGUGAUGGAAAACUUGGAGACCAAAUGGAAGCGAAGAAAAGCCCUUGGUGUAAUUUUACAGCGUGUGAAAGACUUAAAGCAAGAAACACAGCCAGAUGCCACAAGGAAACUACUUUCAAUUAGUUCUGCUUUGUGUUAUACCUACUGAUGAAAAAUAAAAACAAAUUCAUUCUGUCAACAGCUCUAUCUAUAGCAUAAUCCUUAAAUGAACUCAUCCGUCAAACUGGUCUCCUCUGGCAAAACAUAUUACAAUCCCUGUUUCUCAGCUGUGAGAAUCAAUCAUCUCUUUCCCAAACCCAUUGGUCAACAUCUUAAGAACCCAAUAUAUUUUUAUUGCGCAGAACAAGCCAA